Molecule: ribosomal RNA, 253 nt
Filed under: uncultured bacterium
Lineage: Bacteria
Description: partial 16S ribosomal RNA
Rfam family: Bacterial small subunit ribosomal RNA
Source: RNAcentral
UACAGAGGUCUCAACCGUUGUUCGGAUUCAUUGGGCGUAAAGGGUGCGUAGGCGGUCGUGCAAGUCGGAUGUGAAAUCUUAGGGCUCAACCCUGAAACUGCAUUCGAUACUGCGUGGCUCGAGUACUGGAGAGGAGACUGGAAUUUACGGUGUAGCAGUGAAAUGCGUAGAUAUCGUAAGGAAGACCAGUGGCGAAGGCGAGUCUCUGGACAGUUACUGACGCUGAGGCACGAAGGCCAGGGGAGCAAACAGG